UUUUCUAAAUUUCUAGCCUUUAUAUUUUUCUUAUACAUUUUAUCCAAGAACCUUUGCAAAUAAAAAAUUCUAAUAAUAAGAACGUAAGAAAAAUAUUCAAAUGGACUAGAAAAUAGAGAAAAACCUUUUUAUGCGAGAGCCUUUUACGAGUAUGGAUCUCAACUCUCAAUGAAAGCACCAAUUUGUGGAUGCAAAUUUCUUUCUCCUUGAUCUUGGACAAUUUUGCACCUACAAAACAAUUAACACCUUAGGUUAAGGCCAAGAGCCUCACGCACCCACGAUGAAUGGGGGGGCUUUGGCCGAGGAACCUCCGAUGCCAAAGUUAGAAUUUAGAGAGAAAGAGUGUUUAGAGAAUUUUGGGAUUUUUGCCAAAGUGUUGGCAUGGCCUUUUGGUGAAAAUGGGAGCCUAUAUAUAGGGAUAGGCCGGUCCUCUUUGGAGAAAAGAGUGGCCGGCCAUAGGUUGGUUUUUUGGAAUGAAUUUUGGUUUAAUUAGCCAAUUUAUUAUGAUUAAUUGGCUAAUUAAACAUAAAGGGAAUGUUUUGGUGUUUAUGGGAUUUAUUAGCUAGCUAAUUAGUGUAAAAAAAAGGAGAAAAUGAUAGAAAAAGGUAGAAAAUAUGAUGGAUUCUUUCUUGGAUGGGGUUGGCCAGCCAUUGAUAUGGUUUUGGGAUUAAAUGGGUGACUUAAUUGAUAUUUAAUGGAUUAAUUGGGUAAUUAAUCCAUUAAUUAACCAAUUAACAUAAUAAUUUGGAGGUUACCUUGCAAAAGGGAAUUUGAUGAGAUAGACUUUGAAUUGUUUACCUCUUUUGGAGCAUCUUUGACUUGGUUGAAAAAAGAUUGUCGACUGCUUGCGCGUAGAGAUCCCAGUGUACCUCAAGGGUAUUUUGGUCUUUUUGUCUAACAAUCCACGUGUUGCCUUGUGAUUAUUUUUGGCUCCACAAUAACGUUAGAGCAGUGCCACUUGUCCAUCCUAUGCUGAAAACCCUAGGGUGGAUGGGUCAGAGCUUCAUCGUCCUAUAGUGGCUGCGCAGCUUGUACUUGAACUCCUUGAAUCAAUCAUUCCACAACCGGGUUAUGUAGUCAGACAUACCCAACACUUCUAGGUUAAUCUCAAAAUUGCUCUGACAUAGACAAACCAUUUUGUCGGGCAAAUAUUUUCGCUGGUAAAUAUAAGCAAGACAUAGAGCAAAACUUUUGUCAGUGAUAUUUUUUCACUUGUCAUUGUGGACCUUUCCCCAAAGGGUAGGCACUGGACUUGACGACGGAAAAUAUAAGAAAGACGUCGAGCAAAAGUUUGUCAGUGUUAUUUUUUGACAAGUCAUUGUUGACCUUUGCCUAGCGGUGUAGACACUUGACCGGACGAGGGCAAAAGUCCUUAAGUUGAGGAAUUGAGUUUUUGUCGGCAAAAGCUUUACACAAUACGCGCCAUAUUUUUUUCUUGGUGUCGAAAGUUUGCCUGAUAAAUUAUAUAUGGCCCUUUGAAAUACUUUAAUCAUGCAAAGCCUUUGGCAAAAUUCUAAAUGUUGACCAGCUUUACCCGGUCAUUGUAUAUUUUUGGGUAAAUUAACUUGACUCGAUUUAAUAUGAUUUGUCAGGCAAAAGUUAGGAGGGCCAAUUAUAUUUUCUGGUAGUGUGUCUACGUGUUUUUUUUUAUUUGUCAGGCAUUCUGAGCUUUUCAAACCAUCAUGUUGUUCAUAAUGAAAGCUUCAAAUUAUAAGGCAAUUUUUUUUUCUUUUGAACAAAAGAUAUUAUCUAUGCUAAGGGGGAGAUGAUGAGCUUAGUCUCACAAUGGGCUAGUAAUAAGGCAAAAUUUUCGGCCAAUGCAUAUUUUUGGGUAAAUUAACUUGACUCGAUUUAAUAUGAUUUUUCGGGCAAAAGUUAGGCUGGCCAAUUAUAUUUUCUGGUAGUGUGUCUAUGUGUUUUUUUUUUUUUUUUGUUAGGCAUUCUGAGCUUUUCAAACCAUCAUGUUGUUCAUAAUGAAA
This 1979-nucleotide long non-coding RNA is filed under the name Malus domestica (apple). RNAcentral describes it as "long non-coding RNA (MDOM_LNC015717)". The record is from RNAcentral. Lineage: Eukaryota; Viridiplantae; Streptophyta; Magnoliopsida; Rosales; Rosaceae.